This 567-nucleotide long non-coding RNA is filed under the name Homo sapiens (human). RNAcentral describes it as "non-protein coding lnc-KLHL32-4:15". The record is from RNAcentral. Lineage: Eukaryota; Metazoa; Chordata; Mammalia; Primates; Hominidae.
AGAGUCCGUCAGUCCGGGACGAGGUACUGAGAAACUUUUUUUUUUGUACCUUUAAUUGGUGCGUUCGGCUGAAAGGCGGGGCCUGGUAAAAAAAAAAAAACAGAACUGCUGCUGAGGCGGAGGAGAGGACUUAAGGACUAUGGGUUUAUCCUCUGGCCGGACCAAAGAGAAGAUAUUUACUCCAGUGAGUGCGAAGUGAGUGCCUCGUUCACACCCACAGUCGCGCCGUCCCCUCUUCCCGCUCUGGGGCCAGCAACUCUUGUUAGAAUGCAGAUGCCUUUUGUCCAUGGACUGUGAGGCAGGCAAGUGCAACAAUUAAUUUUCUCUGUAACAGAUGGAACAAGUAGACAGAAAAUUAGUAUGGAUAUGGAAAACUUGGAAAGCACUAACCAACUUGACCUAAUUGACGUUUAUAGGUGACCAACCCAACAAUAGCAGAAUACACACUCCUGUCAAGUGCACCAGACACUCUCUGCGUAGGAUCAUCAUGCCGAGCAUAAACUGGACUUUCCCACUUGCCUGGCAGGAGUCACACAGAUCCCUGCGUGCUAAAUGAACAUCUGAGGU